AACAUCACUAGGAGAAGUUUACUCUUAGCAGUGCCUGCCCAGUGCAAAAUUGUAAACGGCCGCCCUAGCGUGAGGGUGCCAAGGUAGCGAAAUUCCUUGCCUUUUAAUUGUAGGCCUGCAUGAAUGGAUUGACGAGGGUCAAGCUGUCUCUUGCCUUGAUGACGAAAUUGGACUAAAGGUGAAGAUACCUUUAUAGAAAAGUUAGACAAGAAGACCCCGUGCAGCUUUAAAAAAGUUACUUAUUAAGAGUUGUAAGAUUUUUAGGUGGGGCGCCUAGGAAGUAAAACUUAACCUUCUUAUUUGUUAAGAAAGGCUCUCAGGCAUAGACCCGGCAAGUCCGAUCAUGGGAGAAGUUACGCCGGGGAUAACAGGCUUAUCCAUUAGUAGAGCUCGUAUUGGCUAAUGGGAUUGGCACCUCGAUGUUGAAUUAAGGAUGAUAGCUCUAAGGCGUAGAAGCUUUAGAAGUGGGUCUGUUCGACCUUUAAUACCUUACGUGAUC
This 499-nucleotide ribosomal RNA is filed under the name Saccostrea malabonensis. RNAcentral describes it as "partial 16S ribosomal RNA". It matches the Rfam family "Bacterial large subunit ribosomal RNA", at positions 1827 to 2605 of the family's 2925-position model. Lineage: Eukaryota; Metazoa; Mollusca; Bivalvia; Ostreida; Ostreidae. The record is from RNAcentral.